GACGAACGCUGGCGGCGUGCCUAAUACAUGCAAGUAGAACGCUGAAGGAGGAGCUUGCUUCUCUGGAUGAGUUGCGAACGGGUGAGUAACGCGUAGGUAACCUGCCUGGUAGCGGGGGAUAACUAUUGGAAACGAUAGCUAAUACCGCAUAACAGUAGAUAUCGCAUGAUAUCUACUUGAAAGGUGCAAUUGCAUCACUACCAGAUGGACCUGCGUUGUAUUAGCUAGUUGGUGAGGUAACGGCUCACCAAGGCGACGAUACAUAGCCGACCUGAGAGGGUGAUCGGCCACACUGGGACUGAGACACGGCCCAGACUCCUACGGGAGGCAGCAGUAGGGAAUCUUCGGCAAUAGACGGAAGUCUGACCGAGCAACGCCGCGUGAGUGAAGAAGGUUUUCGGAUCGUAAAGCCCUGUUGUAAGAGAAGAACGAGUGUGAGAGUGGAAAGUUCACUCUGUGACGGUAGCUUACCAGAAAGGGACGGCUAACUACGUG
This 495-nucleotide ribosomal RNA is filed under the name uncultured bacterium. Its description in RNAcentral is "partial 16S ribosomal RNA". It matches the Rfam family "Bacterial small subunit ribosomal RNA", at positions 28 to 507 of the family's 1533-position model. The record is from RNAcentral.